RNAcentral lists this non-coding RNA (184 nucleotides) under Gammaproteobacteria bacterium. Its description in RNAcentral is "6S RNA". It matches the Rfam family "6S / SsrS RNA". From Rfam's summary of the family: E. coli 6S RNA was the first non coding RNA to be sequenced, but its function was unknown until recently. It consists of 184 nucleotides that fold into an extended hairpin structure with a large single-stranded internal bulge. The record is from RNAcentral. Lineage: Bacteria; Pseudomonadati; Pseudomonadota; Gammaproteobacteria.
UGCCCUCUGCAGUGUUUGUUAGUGGUAUACAUUCUUGAGCCGAUAAUAAUCGACUUCGGGGAUACCCGUACUGAUGUUGGUGUGCAAGCCUGCUAUAGGCAGGAAGCCUUAAACAUCGUCAGUGUCCCCACCUGAACCCUUUGGUUUCAAGGUCGAACACCACGACGGCACAGGCGGAGAGCAC